UACGUAGGGUGCGAGCGUUAAUCGGAAUUACUGGGCGUAAAGCGUGCGCAGGCGGUUUUGUAAGCCAGAUGUGAAAUCCCCGGGCUUAACCUGGGAAUGGCAUUUGGGACUGCAAGGCUGGAGUGUGGCAGAGGAGACUGGAAUUCCCGGUGUAGCAGUGAAAUGCGUAGAUAUCGGGAGGAACACCUGCGGCGAAGGCGGGUUGCUGGGCUGAUACUGACGCUGAGGCGCGAAAGCCAGGGGAGCGAACGGG
Molecule: ribosomal RNA, 253 nt
Filed under: uncultured bacterium
Lineage: Bacteria
Description: partial 16S ribosomal RNA
Rfam family: Bacterial small subunit ribosomal RNA
Source: RNAcentral